Molecule: ribosomal RNA, 443 nt
Filed under: uncultured bacterium
Lineage: Bacteria
Description: partial 16S ribosomal RNA
Rfam family: Bacterial small subunit ribosomal RNA
Source: RNAcentral
CCUACGGGCGGCAGCAGUGGGGAAUAUUGGGCAAUGGGCGCAAGCCUGACCCAGCAACGCCGCGUGAAGGAAGAAGGCUUUCGGGUUGUAAACUUCUUUUCUCAGGGACGAAGCAAGUGACGGUACCUGAGGAAUAAGCCACGGCUAACUCCGUGCCAGCAGCCGCGGUAAUACGGAGGUGGCAAGCGUUAUCCGGAUUUACUGGGUGUAAAGGGCGUGUAGGCGGGAAAGCAAGUCAGAUGUGAAAACCAUGGGCUCAACCUGUGGCCUGCAUUUGAAACUGUUUUUCUUGAGUACUGGAGAGGCAGACGGAAUUCCUAGUGUAGCGGUGAAAUGCGUAGAUAUUAGGAGGAACACCAGUGGCGAAGGCGGUCUGCUGGACAGCAACUGACGCUGAGGCGCGAAAGCGUGGGGAGCAAACAGGAUUAGAUACCCUAGUAGUC